RNAcentral lists this ribosomal RNA (639 nucleotides) under Phyllosticta ampelicida. RNAcentral describes it as "eukaryotic LSU rRNA". It matches the Rfam family "Eukaryotic large subunit ribosomal RNA", at positions 1 to 654 of the family's 3401-position model. Lineage: Eukaryota; Fungi; Ascomycota; Dothideomycetes; Botryosphaeriales; Phyllostictaceae. The record is from RNAcentral.
UUGACCUCGGAUCAGGUAGGGAUACCCGCUGAACUUAAGCAUAUCAAUAAGCGGAGGAAAAGAAACCAACAGGGAUUGCCUCAGUAACGGCGAGUGAAGCGGCAAUAGCUCAAAUUUGAAAGCUGGCGUCUUCGACGUCCGCGUUGUAAUUUGUAGAGGAUGCUUCGGCGAGGACUCCUGCCUAAGUCCCCUGGAACGGGGCGUCACAGAGGGUGAGAAUCCCGUACGUGGCGGGCGGUCCGAGCCAUGUGAAGCUCCUUCGACGAGUCGAGUUGUUUGGGAAUGCAGCUCUAAAUGGGAGGUAAAUUUCUUCUAAAGCUAAAUACUGGCCAGAGACCGAUAGCGCACAAGUAGAGUGAUCGAAAGAUGAAAAGCACUUUGGAAAGAGAGUUAAAAAGUACGUGAAAUUGUUGAAAGGGAAGCGCUUGCAACCAGACUCGCUCGCAGUUGCUCAGCCGGCCUCUUGGCCGGUGCACUCUUCUGCGAUCGGGCCAGCAUCAGUUCGGGCGGCCGGAUAAAGGCGUCGGGAAUGUAGCACCCUUCGGGGUGUGUUAUAGCCCGGCGCGGAAUGCGGCCAGCCUGGACUGAGGAUCUCGCUUCGGCAAGGAUGCUGGCGUAAUGGUUGCAAGCGGCCCGUCU